This is a long non-coding RNA of Cajanus cajan (pigeon pea), 1352 nucleotides long. RefSeq lists it as uncharacterized. The record is from RefSeq and is a predicted model, not a curated record. NCBI's taxonomy places the organism in Eukaryota, Viridiplantae, Streptophyta, Magnoliopsida, Fabales, Fabaceae.
GUUAAAUUAUAAGACUUUAUGUACUUUUUUUGUAUUAUGUAUUAUUUUAUUUUAUAUAUUUUUAUUUUAAUAUUUUAAGGGAAUGUAAAUGUAACCACAUUUUAAUUGUUGUACUAAUGGAUUAAACGCAGAUUAGGGAGUUUUUAUGAGGGGUUAGCGUCAAUUUUCCUUUUUACGCUUAUCUUUCUUAUGUUUUUUCUUGUGCUCUAAAAAACUACAUGGAUAUCAUGAAGGAGAUCACCCCGAAGAUCUGCACCCUUCUUCUAAUGUUGAUCAAGGUGAGGCUCAACAUAAUGAUGUUGGAGAGAGGGCUUGGAGACCUUGCCUUGGAUUCUUGCUCUGAUAGGAUGUAACAUCAAGGUGAGGCUCAACACAAUGUUGAUGAUGUUGGAGACAAGGCUUAGACCUUUCCUUGGAUUAUUGUUGUGAUAGGAUGUAACUUCAAGGUGUAGUUAAUAUUUGAUAUUUGUUUUAUUCAUGUUUAGGACAAUUGUUAGUUUUCAUUAUUGUUAUUCUCAAAAGACCUUUAGUUUGGUGCAUUAUUUAGGAAAUUGCUAUGGUGCCAGUUUAUUUGAGAGGGUUUAAGUACUCCUUUGGUCAUCAACAAAUCACAUGUAGACACCUAUAUUAAGCAAGCUCAUCCACUGACUCUGUCGUCAUCUUCGUCGCCCUCUUUUACGCUCUCAUCUAUGUCCUCGGCCUUGUCGUUGUUGCACGUUGUGGCUGUCUCCACCGCCUCCACCUCUCUGCAGUCGCCGCUCCUUCGCCUUCUUUCACCACUGCCAACAAAGGCAUCAAGAAAGAGGUCCUCCGCUCCCUCCUUAGGCUCAUCGCCACGGCCAAAUCUAUGAUAUGGUGGUUCUGCGAUUGUGCCUCAAAGACUUUGUGGCGACAAUGAUUAAGGGAGGAUUGGAGUUCGGCGACGUGCAACUCGAACAUGGAGAACUCAUCGAUGAUGUUGAGGUACUUCUACUUGAUGAAGGCAUAGUUCUGCUCGGCUUUCAUGUCAAGGGCAUCAGCCUUGGUACGAACGGUGUCGAGGUUGUGGAGAAGGCUGUGAAUGAAGGCAUUGACCUUAAUAGCCAUGACGGCGAUGUCAUCGAAGCAGGGCGAAAACUCAUCAUUGAAAAUGAAGAGAGGUAUCGCAAGAGUUUGGAAGGGAUAGUAGAAAUGAGAGAAAGAAAAAGAGAGUAAAGUGAAAUUUCAUAAAUGUCCUUUGAUCGAUUCUAUGAGAGUUGACCAUGACUUACCUUGUUCAACACAAAUGUCAAUAUGUAAUUUGUUGAUGACCAAAGGACACCCAAACCCUCUCAAACAAACUGACAUCAUAGCAAUUCCCCAUUAUUUAUAGU